Molecule: long non-coding RNA, 599 nt
Organism: Spea bombifrons (plains spadefoot toad)
Lineage: Eukaryota; Metazoa; Chordata; Amphibia; Anura; Pelobatidae
Exons: 3
Source: RefSeq, a predicted model, not a curated record
GCAAAGUCACUGCAUGUACUCGGCAUGGGGUAUUAACACAGGGCAGAUUAAUGGCACCGGAUGCUGCAGGUAUGGGGGGUAUUAGCCGGGUAGUAACGGUAGUACAUGCAGCAGACACGGGGUAUUAGCCGGGUAGUAACGCGUAAAGUGACUGAACUGCACCAGGCGUAUUUACACGAGAGGCAGGCGCAGCGCUACAUGCAGGAGGUAAAGCCGCAGGACACCGGGUGAUAGCAGGCAGUGGAUGCCGGGGUGACAGUGAAGGCACCGGGGCAGUCAGUGACUACAUGGGCCUCACGCACAUGCAUCAGCCCCGGCCACGCGUCACCCCAUUUACCCCUCAGCUGUUAUUAGCGAUGAGAACCUGCCCACCCCGGCUAGUAUUUGUCCCACGCCUGCCCCCUUGGCUAUAAUCAGAGUCCCCGGCUGGGUGCGGACCCUACAGGCCGCCGGCCCAGGUAGCGCAUGGCAGCCAGGAUCUGAGGCCUUUGCGGAGCGCUCGGCCCCAGGCCCUCUCUGAGGUAACCGGGGCACUGAGCGCUUUCUCAGCCACCAGCGAAGACUCGGGGGACUCUCUGAGGUUCCUUUCCCCGCCAGAC